RNAcentral lists this transfer RNA (85 nucleotides) under Felis catus (domestic cat). It matches the Rfam family "tRNA". From Rfam's summary of the family: Transfer RNA (tRNA) molecules are approximately 80 nucleotides in length. Their secondary structure includes four short double-helical elements and three loops (D, anti-codon, and T loops). Lineage: Eukaryota; Metazoa; Chordata; Mammalia; Carnivora; Felidae. The record is from Rfam by way of RNAcentral.
GCCUGGGUGGCUCAGUCGGUUAAGCGUCUGACUUGGGCUCAGGUCAUGAUCCCAUGGCUUGUGGGUUUGAGCCCCAUGUCAGGCU